CCUACGGGAGGCAGCAGUGGGGAAUUUUGGACAAUGGGCGCAAGCCUGAUCCAGCCAUGCCGCGUGUCUGAAGAAGGCCUUCGGGUUGUAAAGGACUUUUGUCAGGGAAGAAAAGGAGUUGGUUAAUACCCGACUCUGAUGACGGUACCUGAAGAAUAAGCACCGGCUAACUACGUGCCAGCAGCCGCGGUAAUACGUAGGGUGCGAGCGUUAAUAGGAAUUACUGGGCGUAAAGCGAGCGCAGACGGUUUGUUAAGCAGGAUGUGAAAUCCCCGGGCUCAACCUGGGAACUGCGUUCUGAACUGGCAGGCUAGAGUGUGUCAGAGGGAGGUAGAAUUCCACGUGUAGCAGUGAAAUGCGUAGAGAUGUGGAGGAAUACCGAUGGCGAAGGCAGCCUCCUGGGAUAACACUGACGUUCAUGCUCGAAAGCGUGGGUAGCAAACAGGAUUAGAUACCCGGGUAGUC
Molecule: ribosomal RNA, 465 nt
Filed under: uncultured Neisseriaceae bacterium
Lineage: Bacteria; Pseudomonadati; Pseudomonadota; Betaproteobacteria; Neisseriales; Neisseriaceae
Description: bacterial SSU rRNA
Rfam family: Bacterial small subunit ribosomal RNA
Source: RNAcentral